GAAAUAAAUGCAAAUGAGGUUUACUACAAUAUACAUUUCAAAUGAUUUUUCUGAAAGUGACGUUGAACAUGAAUUGAUGUAAGUUUCGACAACAGGUCUGAGGUUAAUUGAAGAUACAUCUGUGAAUUUUGAAAACAGUUUUUAACUACAGAAAGUAUAUCAGCAAACUUAUUUUUGAUUCCUAGCUGCAAUUAAUCAAACGUGUCUUUGACGAAUACGGAACUAUGCUUCUAUUGAAUUAUCGAUGUCUUUUACCUGUGAAAAUGACAGCAAUCUGAAACUGACACCACUAUGAUAUGAAAUCCAUCAUAAUUUACAUCUAAAAGGAAGAGCAGUUAUAAAAACGCUUGAAUAAUUUUCAAAACUUGAUUGUAAGUUGUGCGAUUUGCAAAAUAAGCAAUUAAUUUUACUGCUUUGUUUGAUAAUGAUAACAGUAUCAAACCAACGCAUCUAAAUGUAGGAAAUAUUUAUGGAAAUAAUUAUACCUAAUUAUUUGUUCAAAGAAAACACAGACAUAAAAGUAAUUGUGCAAUUUGUCGUCAUGCAAAGGUGUUUUGAGGACUUAUGAACAUUUAAUGUCGACAGCAAGUUUCAAUUAAUAAUUAUCUUCGAAAACAAAGUGCAGAUUUUUUCAUGCUUCACUUCAGGUGUGGUGCAAUUUGCUGAAAGGUUUCAAAUGUAAUUGAAGAUUUUGUGCAUAUUUUUUAAAUCGGCAAGUGAACAAAAAUCGAUUGCUAUUGAGCAAAAAAAAAUUCAUGGGAACUCAUAUACACAUCAGGAAAGAAAUAAUUACAAAUAUAUGAUUUUUCUGACAUUUAUUCUAGGAAUAAUUAUUACAAAAAGAGAAGGCAUCUUUUAAUUAAAAUCAAUUGUACUGUUUACAAAAGGUGGACUGUUCUUUUCAUGUGCAUUUUCUGAGAAAACCUGAACUGAUCAUUUCAAUCAGCAGUGCUAGAAACAAAUUAAAACGAAAAACAGAGAAAUAAGCCAUAAGCUAAGAUUUCUCAUUAGAUUUUCUACCAUUGAAUAUCAUUUUACGGAAUAAUCAUUUAAUGAAUAGCUAACGGAUAUUGGAUAAUAAGACCGAUCAAUUCCGCUCGGUACAAAUGAGACGGACCUUUAUUUAAUAUGACAUAUUUGUAUAGCAUGAGAAUAAGUUUGUCAUAAAACGUUUGUUUGACAAGGAAUAUCUUGUUCUCUGGUGAUUUCUAUGUAUAUGUAGAUUACGAUAUUAUUAGUUUGCUUGGAAAUCGAUUUGUAAGGACAUCGAAUUGAAGACCACGUAAUUUAGUAUUGUGAUGUUCAACUUUCGACUUCCUCUUUUUAUAAAUUAGAUUAAAUCUCCCCAAUCAACUAUUUCGCCUGAUAAACAAUGACAGUGAUUUUCGGAAUGCAUCGACCCCAAGAAAUCAAAGUUGUAUGAACGUUUUUUAUUACGUUGCUUCAGCACUCAGCACUGAUUGAAGUUUGUGACAAGUAUUUAUUGCCAAUCUAAAGGUACCUUGGCCGAGUGGCGAUUAAUCGUUCUAUAAUAGACUGUAAAUUUAUCUACUUAAUUCGGGAUGAUUUCAUGUGAUUGAUUUGUGUUGUGGGAAUUGUGACAAAAUUCAGAAGAAAUGGCUACUGCCAUCCUUAAGAUAAUUGAAAAGGUAGG
This 1654-nucleotide long non-coding RNA is filed under the name Mytilus galloprovincialis (Mediterranean mussel). Lineage: Eukaryota; Metazoa; Mollusca; Bivalvia; Mytilida; Mytilidae. The record is from RNAcentral.